Molecule: ribosomal RNA, 253 nt
Filed under: uncultured bacterium
Lineage: Bacteria
Description: partial 16S ribosomal RNA
Rfam family: Bacterial small subunit ribosomal RNA
Source: RNAcentral
GACAGAGGUGCCGAGCGUUAGGCGGAAUCACUGGGCUUAAAGCGUGUGUAGGCGGGCGAUCAAGUACCUUGUGAAAUCCCACGGCUCAACCGUGGAACCGCUGGGUAUACUGGUUGUCUUGAGCCGGCUAGGGGCGAGCGGAACAGACGGUGGAGCGGUGAAAUGCGUAGAUAUCGGAAGGAACACCGGUGGCGAAAGCGGCGCGCUGGACCUCUUCUGACGCUGAGGCGCGAAAGCCAGGGGAGCAAACGGG